This 497-nucleotide ribosomal RNA is filed under the name uncultured bacterium. RNAcentral's name for it is "partial 16S ribosomal RNA". It matches the Rfam family "Bacterial small subunit ribosomal RNA", at positions 28 to 507 of the family's 1533-position model. The record is from RNAcentral.
GAUGAACGCUGGCGGCGUGCCUAAUACAUGCAAGUCGAGCGAACGGACGAGAAGCUUGCUUCUCUGAUGUUAGCGGCGGACGGGUGAGUAACACGUGGAUAACCUACCUAUAAGACUGGGAUAACUUCGGGAAACCGGAGCUAAUACCGGAUAAUAUUUUGAACCGCAUGGUUCAACAGUGAAAGACGGUCUUGCUGUCACUUAUAGAUGGAUCCGCGCUGCAUUAGCUAGUUGGUAAGGUAACGGCUUACCAAGGCAACGAUGCAUAGCCGACCUGAGAGGGUGAUCGGCCACACUGGAACUGAGACACGGUCCAGACUCCUACGGGAGGCAGCAGUAGGGAAUCUUCCGCAAUGGGCGAAAGCCUGACGGAGCAACGCCGCGUGAGUGAUGAAGGUCUUCGGAUCGUAAAACUCUGUUAUUAGGGAAGAACAUAUGUGUAAGUAACUGAGCACAUCCUGACGGUACCUAAUCAGAAAGCCACGGCUAACUACGUG